AACAAACUCAAAAGUGUGUGGAAAACCUACAACAAGUCAUAAAUCCACAAAACUCAAAACACUGGCAUGGAGUUAUCACUCCAGCCUGUGGACUGUGUAUAACCUGUGUGCACCUGAUCAGAUGCCUCUGUCAAUGAAUUUCAGAAGCCCCAAAGGAAGAAGUAUUCACUUAUCUCAUGAGGACUCUGCCCGUCCUCGCCUUGAUCACAGCCUUCUUCUGGCUCUACUAUGUAGGGAGCAAAGCUCAGCAGAACUCAAAAGCUUCUUCUGGAAAUAAACCAACUUCAAAUCAAAAGCAAGAGCAAGACGAGGAAGAGGAAGAAAGAGAUGGAAGAGCAGUAGAAGCAGCAAAUGAAUGUUAGAUAAAAGUGUCUGAUAAUUAAAUUUGAUUACAAAUAGAAGAACUAUAUUCUUUUGUUACUGAUCAGUUAAGAGUAUGUAUAGUUUUAUUCUUCAUUCAUUCAAAACAACAAAUGUUGGCACAACAAAAAGUGACUGCACAUGUAAAUAGAUUGAAAAGUG
Long non-coding RNA from Astatotilapia calliptera (eastern happy), 522 nucleotides. The record is from Ensembl. NCBI's taxonomy places the organism in Eukaryota, Metazoa, Chordata, Actinopteri, Cichliformes, Cichlidae.